RNAcentral lists this ribosomal RNA (673 nucleotides) under Suillus kwangtungensis. Its description in RNAcentral is "partial large subunit ribosomal RNA". It matches the Rfam family "Eukaryotic large subunit ribosomal RNA", at positions 72 to 717 of the family's 3401-position model. The record is from RNAcentral. Lineage: Eukaryota; Fungi; Basidiomycota; Agaricomycetes; Boletales; Suillaceae.
GGAUUCCCCUAGUAACUGCGAGUGAACCGGGAAAAGCUCAAAUUUUGAAUCUGGCGGUCUGAGGCCCGUCCGAGUUGUAAUCUAGAGAAGCGUCUUCCGCGCUGGACCGUGUAUAAGUUUCCUGGAAUGGAACGUCGUAGAGGGUGACAAUCCCGUCUUUGACACGGACUCCCAGGGCUAUGUGAUGCGCUCUCGACGAGUCGAGUUGUUUGGGAAUGCAGCUCAAAUAGGGUGGUAAAUUCCAUCUAAAGCUAAAUACAGGCGAGAGACCGAUAGCGAACAAGUACCGUGAGGGAAAGAUGAAAAGAACUUUGGAAAGAGAGUUAAACAGUACGUGAAAUUGCUGAAAGGGAAACGCUUGAUGUCAGUCGCAUCGUCCGGGGAUCAGCCUCGCUUUUUUGCUCGGCGUACUUCCUGGUCGAUGGGUCAGCAUCGGUUUCGACCGUCGGAAAAUGGCUCGAGGAACGUGGCACUCUUCGGGGUGUGUUAUAGACUCCUGUCGAAUGCGAUGGUCGGGACCGAGGAACUCAGCGCGACCUUCGGGUUCGGGGCUUCGGCUCACGUUAGCGUGCUUAGGAUGCUGGCAUAAUGGCCUUAAGCGACCCGUCUUGAAACACGGACCAAGGAGUCUAACUCGCGUGCGAGUGUUUGGGUGAUUAAAACCCGAGCGCGU